RNAcentral lists this long non-coding RNA (523 nucleotides) under Mus caroli (Ryukyu mouse). RNAcentral's name for it is "lncRNA (MGP_CAROLIEiJ_G0003539.1)". Lineage: Eukaryota; Metazoa; Chordata; Mammalia; Rodentia; Muridae. The record is from RNAcentral.
GGCUUCCUUCUGACCGUGACCGUGUGUUUCCACGUCCGACGGGCUCCGAGGUAGUUGAGAGCCGGUUUGCUCCCUUCCCCCGCCCUCUAUCACCUUUAAUGCUUAGUUCCUUCGUUUGCAAAGUCCUGACACCGUGGGCGUCACGGAGGCGAAAGUAAAAAGCCGCCUUUGCCACUCCCCAGAUCCUCUGGAGGCUGGAGGCACCGGCCAGACGGUCAGACCCAUCAGCCCACAAGACUUCCGCAGGGGGCGAGGGCACUGGACCUGCUUUGACUUGGCCUUCCUCAAUCCGUGCUGACGUCACGGCCCGAGAACCCCUUGGGUCUGCGGAGGAGGUAACAAGUUCGAAUUUUGUAUCUCUUCCUAGUUAUUCCCAUCUGUUACUGAUGUUUAAGUCCUUGGACUGCGUCGCCCUCGAAUUCUCCAGCUCGGACUUUUCCUUUGCCUUUGAGGCUAACAUUCUGUUACUCUCAUUUUUGUUUUCUACUUUUCUCCUUCAGAGUAAAGAAAAUUCGUUUAAAUG